This 264-nucleotide ribosomal RNA is filed under the name uncultured Anaerolineaceae bacterium. Its description in RNAcentral is "partial 16S ribosomal RNA". It matches the Rfam family "Bacterial small subunit ribosomal RNA", at positions 1105 to 1382 of the family's 1533-position model. The record is from RNAcentral. Lineage: Bacteria; Bacillati; Chloroflexota; Anaerolineae; Anaerolineales; Anaerolineaceae.
UCGUCGUAUGUUAUAUGUGUCAUACGAGACUGCCGGUAAAAAGACCGGAGGAAGGUGAGGAUGAUGUCAAGUCAGCAUGACCUUUAUAUCCAGGGCUACACACACGCUACAAUGGUCUGUACAAUGGGUAGCCAAGCCGCGAGGCGGAGCCAAUCCUGAAAGCAGGCCUCAGUUCAGAUUGCAGUCUGCAACUCGACUGCAUGAAGCCGGAGUUGCUAGUAACCGCAGGUCAGCAAUACUGCGGUGAAUACGUUCCCGGGUCUU